GCCACAGCUCAGUGGAAGAGCAUUUGCUUGCAAGCAGAAGGUCACAGGUUCAAUCCCUGGCUUCUACA
Podarcis lilfordi (Lilford's wall lizard) is the source of this 68-nucleotide non-coding RNA. NCBI's taxonomy places the organism in Eukaryota, Metazoa, Chordata, Lepidosauria, Squamata, Lacertidae. The record is from the annotation of a GenBank genome assembly.